GAUGAACGCUGGCGGCGUGCCUAAUACAUGCAAGUCGAGCGAACAGACGAGGAGCUUGCUCCUCUGACGUUAGCGGCGGACGGGUGAGUAACACGUGGAUAACCUACCUAUAAGACUGGGAUAACCUCGGGAAACCGGAGCUAAUACCGGAUAAUAUAUUGAACCGCAUGGUUCAAUAGUGAAAGACGGUUUUGCUGUCACUUAUAGAUGGAUCCGCGCCGCAUUAGCUAGUUGGUAAGGUAACGGCUUACCAAGGCAACGAUGCGUAGCCGACCUGAGAGGGUGAUCGGCCAAACGGGAACUGAAAAACGUUCAAAACUCCAAGGGAAGGAGGAAGAAGGAAAGCUUCCGCAAUGGGCGAAGGCCUGAGGGGGCAACGCGGGGGAGGGAUGAAGGUCUUCGGAUCGUAAAACUCUGUUAUUAGGGAAGAACAAAUGUGUAAGUAACUAUGCACGUCUUGACGGUACCUAAUCAGAAAGCCACGGCUAACUACGUG
This 496-nucleotide ribosomal RNA is filed under the name uncultured bacterium. Its description in RNAcentral is "partial 16S ribosomal RNA". It matches the Rfam family "Bacterial small subunit ribosomal RNA", at positions 28 to 507 of the family's 1533-position model. The record is from RNAcentral.